Non-coding RNA from Peromyscus maniculatus bairdii (prairie deer mouse), 724 nucleotides. The record is from RefSeq and is a predicted model, not a curated record. NCBI's taxonomy places the organism in Eukaryota, Metazoa, Chordata, Mammalia, Rodentia, Cricetidae.
GAGUAGCUGGCAGGGACCCCAGGCCUGAGCUCUGGCCCUCCUUAGUGGGUGGGCCUGUGUUCCCCUGUGCCAGGGCCUGUUGCAUGAUGGGGGUGGGGGAACAGUGUCUACAAGACAGGCCUUUUUGAUGAGACUGUAGAUACAAAUUUAGAUCUGCCCAAGUAAACAGAAAUACAGCCUGCCUUCCUCACAGUGUGACAGGCUAGGGGAGCCUUCUGGGUUAAGAGUGUGUGGCGUUUCUUUAUGGAAACACCGUGUUCCUUCGGGUUCUAGAUAGAAGAAAAUCCUGGCAGGCGCAGUGGGCUGUGGUCCCCAGGCGUCUCUUGGAUGGAGAUCACUCAUUUCCACUUCCUUCUCAUCUGUUUGUUCCCACCCUUCCUUCCUUGUUCAUUCCGGAGCUGACCCGACAGCAUCCUGGGAGCCAUGCAUCUUACUCGUCUGGGGAAAAUAAUUCACACUUAUUCUUUCCUAAGGGCGCUUAGCACAGAGCUUGGCCGUUAAUAAACACCAACAAGAUGAAUGAAUGGAGGCUCUCACUGCAACCUGAUUAGGUAGCUACCAGGCUAGUGAGCCCCAGGACACCCGCCCCUGCAUCUUUAAACCCUGAAUCACCGCCUCAGAUGAAGACAGGACUGGAGGGAGACGUCAGAGACCACGUGGUAGAGGAGGAUGAAGGAGUGAACAGAAAGAUGGAAGCUGCGUCCUCUGCCCUGUAGAUUCUUUA